This 559-nucleotide ribosomal RNA is filed under the name uncultured bacterium. RNAcentral describes it as "bacterial SSU rRNA". It matches the Rfam family "Bacterial small subunit ribosomal RNA", at positions 338 to 916 of the family's 1533-position model. The record is from RNAcentral.
CCUACGGGAGGCAGCAGUGGGGAAUCUUGCGCAAUGGGCGAAAGCCUGACGCAGCCAUGCCGCGUGAAUGAUGAAGGUCUUAGGAUUGUAAAAUUCUUUCACCGAGGACGAUAAUGACGGUACUCGGAGAAGAAGCCCCGGCUAACUUCGUGCCAGCAGCCGCGGUAAUACGAAGGGGGCUAGCGUUGCUCGGAAUUACUGGGCGUAAAGGGAGCGUAGGCGGAUAGUUUAGUCAGAGGUGAAAGCCCAGGGCUCAACCUUGGAAUUGCCUUUGAUACUGGCUAUCUUGAGUACGGAAGAGGUAUGUGGAACUCCGAGUGUAGAGGUGAAAUUCGUAGAUAUUCGGAAGAACACCAGUGGCGAAGGCGACAUACUGGUCCGUUACUGACGCUGAGGCUCGAAAGCGUGGGGAGCAAACAGGAUUAGAUACCCUGGUAGUCCACGCUGUAAACGAUGAGUGCUAGUUGUCGGCAUGCAUGCAUGUCGGUGACGCAGCUAACGCAUUAAGCACUCCGCCUGGGGAGUACGGUCGCAAGNUUAAAACUUAAUGAAUUGACGG